Molecule: ribosomal RNA, 488 nt
Filed under: uncultured bacterium
Lineage: Bacteria
Description: partial 16S ribosomal RNA
Rfam family: Bacterial small subunit ribosomal RNA
Source: RNAcentral
GACGAACGCUGGCGGCGUGCUUAACACAUGCAAGUCGAACGAAAAUACCAAGCUUGCUUGGUUGAUUAGUGGCGAACCGGUGAGUAACACGUGAGUAACCUGCCCCUUACUUUCCUGGAUAACUGCUCGAAAGGGUAGCUAAUACGGGAUAUUCUGACCAGCCUGCAUGGGUUGGUUUGGAAAGGUUGUUUUUCUGGUAAGGGAUGGGCUCGCGGCCUAUCAGCUUGUUGGUGGGGUGAUGGCCUACCAAGGCUUUGACGGGUAGCCGGCCUGAGAGGGUGGACGGUCACACUGGGACUGAGAUACGGCCCAGACUCCUACGGGAGGCAGCAGUGGGGAAUAUUGCACAAUGGGCGCAAGCCUGAUGCAGCGACGCCGCGUGAGGGAUGAAGGCCUUCGGGUUGUAAACCUCUUUCGUCAGGGAACAAGGCACUGCUUUUUUGGUGGUGUUGAGGGUACCUGGAUAAGAAGCGCCGGCUAACUACGUG